AGUGAACGCUGGCGGUAGGCCUAACACAUGCAAGUCGAACGGCAGCACAGUAAGAGCUUGCUCUUACGGGUGGCGAGUGGCGGACGGGUGAGGAAUACAUCGGAAUCUACUUUUUCGUGGGGGAUAACGCAGGGAAACUUACGCUAAUACCGCAUACGACCUACGGGUGAAAGCAGGGGAUCUUCGGACCUUGCGCGAUUGAAUGAGCCGAUGUCGGAUUAGCUAGUUGGCGGGGUAAAGGCCCACCAAGGCGACGAUCCGUAGCUGGUCUGGGAGGAUGAUCAGCCACACUGGAACUGAGACACGGUCCAGACUCCUACGGGAGGCAGCAGUGGGGAAUAUUGGACAAUGGGCGCAAGCCUGAUCCAGCCAUACCGCGUGGGUGAAGAAGGCCUUCGGGUUGUAAAGCCCUUUUGUUGGGAAAGAAAAGCAGCAGGUUAAUACCCCGCUGUUCUGACGGUACCCAAAGAAUAAGCACCGGCUAACUUCGUG
This 492-nucleotide ribosomal RNA is filed under the name uncultured bacterium. Its description in RNAcentral is "partial 16S ribosomal RNA". It matches the Rfam family "Bacterial small subunit ribosomal RNA", at positions 29 to 507 of the family's 1533-position model. The record is from RNAcentral.